GACGAACGCUGGCGGCGUGCUUAACACAUGCAAGUGGAGCGACGAACCAGGGCUUGCCCUGGGGCAGAGCCGCGAACGGGUGAGUAACACGUGGGUAACGUACCCCGAUGACUGGGACAACCCGGGGAAACCCGGGCUAAUACCGGAUGUGCCCCCUCACGCAAGUGAGGUGUGUAAAGGAAGCUUCGGCCUCCGCAUCGGGAUCGGCCCGCGGCCCAUUAGCUUGUUGGUGAGGUAACGGCUCACCAAGGCUGCGAUGGGUAGCUGGUCUGAGAGGACGAUCAGCCACACUGGGACUGAGACACGGCCCAGACUCCUACGGGAGGCAGCAGUGGGGAAUCUUGCGCAAUGCGCGAAAGCGUGACGCAGCAACGCCGCGUGGGGGAAGACGGCCUUCGGGUUGUAAACCCCUUUCAGUUGGGACGAAGGUCGGGCGGUGAAUAGCCGCUCCGGCUGACGGUACCUUCACAAGAAGCCCCGGCUAACUACGCGCCAGCAGCCGCGGUAAUACGUAGGGGGCAAGCGUUGUCCGGAAUCAUUGGGCGUAAAGAGCGUGUAGGCGGCCCGGUAAGUCCGCUGUGAAAGUCGAGGGCUCAACCCUCGAAUGCCGGCGGAUACUGUCGGGCUAGAGUCCGGAAGA
Molecule: ribosomal RNA, 640 nt
Filed under: uncultured bacterium
Lineage: Bacteria
Description: bacterial SSU rRNA
Rfam family: Bacterial small subunit ribosomal RNA
Source: RNAcentral